RNAcentral lists this non-coding RNA (32 nucleotides) under Mus musculus (house mouse). The record is from RNAcentral. Lineage: Eukaryota; Metazoa; Chordata; Mammalia; Rodentia; Muridae.
UGCAACCCCCGUGCAACCAGGUAUCAAUCCUU